Molecule: ribosomal RNA, 405 nt
Filed under: uncultured bacterium
Lineage: Bacteria
Description: bacterial SSU rRNA
Rfam family: Bacterial small subunit ribosomal RNA
Source: RNAcentral
AGUGAACGCUGGCGGCAGGCCUAACACAUACAAGUCGAGCGGCAGCGCGUCCGACCACCCUCGGGUGGUCGGAUGGCGGCGAGCGGCGGACGGGUGAGGAAUGCAUCGGAAUCUGCCUCGUUGUGGGGGAUAACGUAGGGAAACUUACGCUAAUACCGCAUACGACCUACGGGUGAAAGUGGGGGACCUUCGGGCCUCACGCGAUGAGAUGAGCCGAUGCCGGAUUAGCUAGUUGGCGGGGUAAAGGCCCACCAAGGCGACGAUCCGUAGCUGGUCUGAGAGGAUGAUCAGCCACACUGGAACUGAGACACGGUCCAGACUCCUACGGGAGGCAGCAGUGGGGAAUAUUGGACAAUGGGAGCAACCCUGAUCAACCAUGCCGCGUGUGUGAAGAAGGCCUCGGUU